AUCAGGAAGUAAACAACAAUGGCUGUACGUUGUACUAAUAAGUUGCACUACUCGUUUUUAUUCCUAUUUGUAUUGGUGUGUGUUUUGUUUGGGAAGUCGGCCAGCUCUUUGACUUCAGAUAAACCUGGACAUGGUGAAUUCAAACAUUUCCGAAGUUUUCGAAGUGUUUCAGAGCCUACAGCUCCACCACCAGGGUGCAGUGGAAGAGCAAGCGUGACGUGUAGAGCGCGUGAGAGCAGUUUGGCGUCUUCUCAAAGUUUUCUGCGACUUUGUCUUUUUGCUUUUGUUUUCAUUUAAUUAUUGAAUGUUUAAGUUAUGUAAGUAGCCGGUAGAAGUUGAGAGCGGGUGGGAGUGAGCGGGACGGCGUCCCGCUCUCUGAGGCCGGAGGGCAGACGCUGUCUCUCCGCCAUGGCGUCAGGUGUGUGCCGGAGGAUGGAGAACAGGUGGAGGAGGUUCUGCUAGCGGUGGG
Molecule: long non-coding RNA, 469 nt
Organism: Ictalurus punctatus (channel catfish)
Lineage: Eukaryota; Metazoa; Chordata; Actinopteri; Siluriformes; Ictaluridae
Source: Ensembl